UAGAAAAUUCAAGAGGAAGAAGAGAAGAGAAACUUGAAGCUAGAGAGAGAGAGCUCGGUUUUGGGGGAGAAAAAAAAAAGUAAGUCUCCGAUUUUGCUUCGUGAAUUAAUUAUCUAUGGUGUACCAAGAUGUUAUGAAGGUAUUGGUAACGUAAAUUUAUGGUUUGGAGCAUUUCAAAACGUCACCAAACAGCCCCAAAGUUCUAGCCGCGCGAGGAGAGCUUCCGAGGCAAGUUUUGGAGAGUUUCGGUAAAGACUAACAAGUUGGAAGAAUAAGAAAAGCUAGUAAGGCGCGGUACAGGUACACCCAGACAAGUAGAAGCUACUAUAGAAGAUGUUCCAGCGGGGCUGGCAACUCCACUUGUUCUGGAGUGCUGCCGAGUCAGAGUUUAUGCGCUAUGAUGUUUCGUUCGAAGUUAGAGACUUUGCAGACAGAGUUAUGGGUAUAGAGUGUCAUCUUUGUAAGCGGCGUCACCAGCCGAUAUGUUAUUAUGUUGUAUGUUAUGAGUUUUAUGGGAUGAUAGAUUUUGGAAAAAAUAAUUCACGAAGCUUAGUUAUGUUUUUCAUUUCUUGUUGAUGUAAAAGUCUAAGAGAUUAAAUAUGUACUAUGAAGCAGCGGGU
Molecule: long non-coding RNA, 620 nt
Organism: Solanum dulcamara
Lineage: Eukaryota; Viridiplantae; Streptophyta; Magnoliopsida; Solanales; Solanaceae
Exons: 3
Source: RefSeq, a predicted model, not a curated record